This 253-nucleotide ribosomal RNA is filed under the name uncultured bacterium. Its description in RNAcentral is "partial 16S ribosomal RNA". It matches the Rfam family "Bacterial small subunit ribosomal RNA", at positions 524 to 776 of the family's 1533-position model. The record is from RNAcentral.
UACGUAGGGUGCGAGCGUUGUCCGGAAUUACUGGGCGUAAAGAGCUCGUAGGUGGCUUGUCGCGUUGUCCGUGAAAACUCACAGCUCAACUGUGGGCGUGCGGGCGAUACGGGCAGACUGGAGUACUGCAGGGGAGACUGGAAUUCCUGGUGUAGCGGUGGAAUGCGUAGAGAUCCGGAGGAACACCAGCGGCGAAGGCGGCGUCCUGGACUGGGCCUGACGCUGAGGCGCGAAAGCUAGGGGAGCAAACGGG